AGUGAACGCUGGCGGUAGGCCUAACACAUGCAAGUCGAACGGCAGCACAGUAAGAGCUUGCUCUUACGGGUGGCGAGUGGCGGACGGGUGAGGAAUACAUCGGAAUCUACUUUUUCGUGGGGGAUAACGUAGGGAAACUUACGCUAAUACGCAUACGACCUACGGGUGAAAGCAGGGGAUCUUCGGACCUUGGGCGAUUGAAUGAGCCGAUGUCGGAUUAGCUAGUUGGCGGGGUAAAGGCCCACCAAGGCGACGAACCGUAGCUGGUCUGAGAGGAUGAUCAGCCACACUGGAACUGAGACACGGUCCAGACUCCUACGGGAGGCAGCAGUGGGGAAUAUUGGACAAUGGGCGCAAGCCUGAUCCAGCCAUACCGCGUGGGUGAAGAAGGCCUUCGGGUUGUAAAGCCCUUUUGUUGGGAAAGAAAAGCAGCAGGUUAAUACCCCGCUGUUCUGACGGUACCCAAAGAAUAAGCACCGGCUAACUUCGUG
This 491-nucleotide ribosomal RNA is filed under the name uncultured bacterium. RNAcentral describes it as "partial 16S ribosomal RNA". It matches the Rfam family "Bacterial small subunit ribosomal RNA", at positions 29 to 507 of the family's 1533-position model. The record is from RNAcentral.